CUUCAGCCUGGGCAAUAAAAAAUAUACGUUAGUCAGGCUUCUCAGAACAGCUUGCAUCCGACAGGGAAAUAACCCCACUUGAAUACAAUAACCACCACCAAAAAAAAAGAAAAGAAAAAAAAAGAGUAGUAUUGCCACAUCUUAAGACUAAAUCGUUUCUUGAUUAUGUUUCCUGACAAGUAGAUAAGACUCACUUCCCAGUUUUAAUCCCUGCAGUUCUGCGACUCUGCCUGCAGAUCUCUUUUUCUCAGGUGUUUUGCAGAAUAGGUCCUCUCUGGGACAGCCCCUCAAAAAUAUUGGAAGACCGAUAUCGAGUCACCCCUAGUCCUUGAUAGGAUCGACAUGAAUCAGAUCACGUACCGCAGCAUCGUGAUGGAUGGACAAAAGAGGUGGAGCUUGUCCAACCAUUUGACACAACUGAAGGAUGGUUCAAGGCUAAUUCCAAAAUAGAUAAAGCUUUUGACGGAAUGUAAGCACACAAUAGGGCAUUCAUCUCCGAAAGGCAAAUAAAGGCCCUGCAACUGUACAUCAAGGAUCAGCAGGGAUCAGGCAA
Pantherophis guttatus is the source of this 553-nucleotide non-coding RNA. The record is from RefSeq and is a predicted model, not a curated record. Lineage: Eukaryota; Metazoa; Chordata; Lepidosauria; Squamata; Colubridae.